GCGAUCCCAUGAGGCCUUGCAAUGUCCUGUGCGGCUAUCCAUUGUGCGAUGGACGGUGCAUGCUGUGCAUCGUAUCAAGCAGUGCUGAUCCGCACUUUUAAAUAUAAGAGAUGAAUAGAUGAAAUUGGGAUGGAGUAUUAAAAGAUAAAUAAAAAAAUAAUUAAUAAAAAAAAGAAAGAGAAAAAGAAGAGGGAGAUAUAUUAGAGAGAG
This 210-nucleotide long non-coding RNA is filed under the name Elaeis guineensis (African oil palm). Its description in RNAcentral is "long non-coding RNA (EGUI_LNC077995)". The record is from RNAcentral. Lineage: Eukaryota; Viridiplantae; Streptophyta; Magnoliopsida; Arecales; Arecaceae.